AUCUGCAGCCCUAGAGCCUUUCCCCUACAACAGUGAAACCAACAACGAAUGUGUCAGGAGGCGUCUUGAAGUUAUUUAUGACAAGAUAGGCUAAUGUUUAAAGAGCAAUCCGACAUGAGUGAAGAGAAAAUCUCUCAUCUUGAAGAAAAACAAUUCCUGUUGUGUCCCAGAGUCAAGAAGGAUUUAGCACAGAAAUAUAUCAACAAACUUGCCAGGAGAAAUAUCCAGUCAAAGAAAAUGUCAUCACCGCAGACAUCCAUGGACUCGUUCUGGAUCAUCUUGACACUUGCUGCAGACAAGCCAAGAGAGUAAACUGGGCAAGAUGAGUCAAAUUCUAAAAUGGAUCUGUUCGCUUGAAUUAAAUAAAUCACGACACUUGGGAAAUUGUAUGGCAAUGUUAUCGUGACCACGGAAAAGAAAAUUAUUCCACGGGAAAGGACUGGACAAAGCUAACAAUAGCAACAGACAGCAGGGCUACAGAGAGUCCCCAGAUGAAUCCACAGUGUCAGCAUAGCCACAGAGGACAGUGCUGAGACAGCCAAAGAAGUGAUAGGACGAGCAAACAGGAAAUGAGGGGGGACAGUCUCUGCCAAGUGGAAAGGUUGACAGCUGUCAACCGUGCUCCCAGUUCCAAGUCCUGAGUGGGCUUCUUAAAUAGACAUGGAAUGAUACGAGGAAGAAAUAAAGCUCUCCCUGUUUCACAUCUCCCACCUAAUACAGUGUCCUCUGUGUAAGAUGAUAAGGAGUCCUGGAGAGUGGAUCUAGCAUUUUGGAUCCCAAAAGAACAACCACAGUCACAAUGAAGACACAGUGGUGAUGUCCUGCAACAGCAGCCCCGCUGACCAUACCCACUUCUGCCUGGGCAUGAAGCCAUGUGACACCUCCUCAAACACGGGCGCAUUGGCCCUAGGUCUCUGCCCAGUCUCUUCUCCCUGGAGCACCUGGCCUCCCACACCUGCUGCUGCUGUCUUUAUAUAACAACUGCUCUGCCCAUUAUGCAUGGAAGACUGUGAAAUAGACCUGAAGUGCUUUAAUAAAAAGAAUAUUCUACAUCC
This 1055-nucleotide long non-coding RNA is filed under the name Mus pahari (shrew mouse). Its description in RNAcentral is "RIKEN cDNA 4930419G24 gene (MGP_PahariEiJ_G0003438.1)". The record is from RNAcentral. Lineage: Eukaryota; Metazoa; Chordata; Mammalia; Rodentia; Muridae.